CCUACGGGAGGCUGCAGUAGGGAAUAUUGCUCAAUGGGGGAAACCCUGAAGCAGCAACGCCGCGUGGAGGAUGAAGGUUUUCGGAUUGUAAACUCCUUUUGUUAGAGAAGAUAAUGACGGAAUCUAACGAAUAAGCACCGGCUAACUCCGUGCCAGCAGCCGCGGUAAUACGGAGGGUGCAAGCGUUACUCGGAAUCACUGGGCGUAAAGAGCGCGUAGGCGGGAUAGCAAGUCAGAUGUGAAAGCCUAUGGCUAAACCAUAGCAGUGCAUUUGAAACGGUUAUUCUAGAGUAAGGGAGAGGUAGGUGGAAUCCUUGGUGAAGGGGUAAAAUCGGUAGAG
This 340-nucleotide ribosomal RNA is filed under the name uncultured bacterium. RNAcentral's name for it is "partial 16S ribosomal RNA". It matches the Rfam family "Bacterial small subunit ribosomal RNA", at positions 338 to 695 of the family's 1533-position model. The record is from RNAcentral.